Molecule: microRNA, 25 nt
Filed under: Bombyx mori (domestic silkworm)
Lineage: Eukaryota; Metazoa; Arthropoda; Insecta; Lepidoptera; Bombycidae
Description: bmo-miR-3268-5p
Source: miRBase by way of RNAcentral
UGAAGUAUGAUUCAUUAGUAGACUA